This 468-nucleotide ribosomal RNA is filed under the name uncultured bacterium. Its description in RNAcentral is "partial 16S ribosomal RNA". It matches the Rfam family "Bacterial small subunit ribosomal RNA", at positions 28 to 507 of the family's 1533-position model. The record is from RNAcentral.
GACGAACGCUGGCGGCGUGCCUAAUACAUGCAAGUCGAACGGACAGGUCCUGCUCUUGUGGGGUUCUCGAGUGGGGAACGGGGGUGUAACACGUGAGUAACCUGCCCUUGUCAUUGUGAUAUCUUCAGGAAACUGGGGCUAAUACCCGGGAGGAGCUUUGGCUGCGCGUGGGUGGAUGGAAAGAUUCGGCUGUUGUGUGUGGACUGGCGGGUUAUCAGCUUGUUGGUGGGGUAGUUGCUUACCAAGGCUAUGAAGGGGAGCCGGCCUGAGAGGGUGACCGGCGACCCAGGGACCGAGGUGAGGCCCCGACACGUACGCGAGGCAGAAGUGGGAAAUAUUGCACAAUGAGCGGAACGCUGGUGCAGCAGCGCCGCGUGCGGGAAGACGGCCUUCGUGGGGUAAACCACUUUCGCCUGUGACGAAGCGCGAGUGACGGUAAUGGAUAAAGAAGCACCGGGUAACUACGUG